UACGUGGAGUGCGAGCGUUAUCCGGAUUUACUGGGCGUAAAGCGUACCGCAGGUGAUUUUGUAAGUUUUUUGUCCAAGCCCGGAGCUUAACUUCGGAUCGGCAGAGAAUACUACAAGAAUUGAGUCUGUUCGGGGAACUUGGAAUUCUCGGUGGAGGGGUGAAAUCCGUAGAUAUCGAGAGGAACGCCAAGCGCGAAGGCAGGGUUCUAGAACACGACUGACACUCAGGGACGAAAGCUAGGGGAGCAAAAGGG
This 254-nucleotide ribosomal RNA is filed under the name uncultured bacterium. Its description in RNAcentral is "partial 16S ribosomal RNA". It matches the Rfam family "Bacterial small subunit ribosomal RNA", at positions 524 to 776 of the family's 1533-position model. The record is from RNAcentral.